This 677-nucleotide ribosomal RNA is filed under the name Malassezia arunalokei. RNAcentral describes it as "eukaryotic LSU rRNA". The stretch from base 1 to 594 matches the Rfam family "Eukaryotic large subunit ribosomal RNA", at positions 81 to 664 of the family's 3401-position model. The record is from RNAcentral. Lineage: Eukaryota; Fungi; Basidiomycota; Malasseziomycetes; Malasseziales; Malasseziaceae.
UAAUACGGCGAGCGAGCGGGAAGAGCUCAAUUUGAAAGCUGGCGUCUUCGGCGUCCGCGUUGUAAUCUCGAGACGUGUUUUUCCGUGCGGCUCUAUGGACAAGUCCCUUGGAACAGGGCAUCGUAGAGGGUGAAAAUCCCGUACUUGCCAUGGAAGUACCGUGCUUUGUGAUACACGCUCCAAGAGUCGAGUAGUUUGGGAUUGCUGCUCAAAGUGGGUGGUAGACUCCAUCUAAAGCUAAAUAUCGGGGAGAGACCGAUAGCGAACAAGUACCGUGAGGGAAAGAUGAAAAGCACUUUGGAAAGAGAGUUAAAAGUACGUGAAAUUGUCGAAAGGGAAGCACUUGAAGUCAGCCAUGCUGCUUGAGACUCAGCCUGGCUUUUGCUUGGUGUAUUUCUCGGUAGCAAGCCAGCAUUGGUUUGUGUCGUCGGAGAAGCGCAUGGGGAAUGUGGCAUCCUCGGAUGUGUUAUAGCCCUGUGCAGGAUACGACGACGUAGACCAAGGAACGCAGUGUGCCCUCUGGGCGGGUCUUCGGACACCUUCACGCUUAGGAUGCUGGCGUAAUGGCUUUAAGUGGCCCGUCUUGAACCCCGGGACCCCUUAAAGCCAUUACGCCGGCAUCCUAAGCGCGUAGGGGCCGAGACCCGCCUAAGGGGCAAUGGGGUUCCUGGGCCUAG